This 254-nucleotide ribosomal RNA is filed under the name uncultured bacterium. Its description in RNAcentral is "partial 16S ribosomal RNA". It matches the Rfam family "Archaeal small subunit ribosomal RNA", at positions 474 to 727 of the family's 1478-position model. The record is from RNAcentral.
CACCGGCAGCUCUAGUGGUAGCUGUUUUUAUUGGGCCUAAAGCGUUCGUAGCCGGUUUGAUAAGUCACUGGUGAAAUCCUGUAGCUUAACUGUGGGAAUUGCUGGUGAUACUGUUGAACUUGAGGUCGGGAGAGGUUAGCGGUACUCCCAGGGUAGAGGUGAAAUUCUGUAAUCCUGGGAGGAUCACCUGUGGCGAAGGCGGCUAACUGGAACGAACCUGACGGUGAGGGACGAAAGCUAGGGGUGCGAACCGG